This 25-nucleotide ribosomal RNA is filed under the name Lodderomyces parapsilosis. RNAcentral's name for it is "Candida parapsilosis partial 18S ribosomal RNA". Lineage: Eukaryota; Fungi; Ascomycota; Pichiomycetes; Serinales; Debaryomycetaceae. The record is from RNAcentral.
GGGGGGACCUGCGGAAGGAUCAUUA